GGGGGGGGCGCGGCGGGGCCCCAGCCCUGAGCCGCCUGUGCCCGUGCCAGGUCGGGGAGAAGACGCCCGAGUCCCAGCGGCAGGCGUGCGCGGGGCACCUGCCGGCCAUCAGAGCCUUCUUCAGGUUCCCAGCCUUGGCCGCCGACCCGGGGCUG
This 155-nucleotide long non-coding RNA is filed under the name Anser cygnoides (Swan goose). RNAcentral describes it as "lncRNA (ENSACDG00005014540.1)". Lineage: Eukaryota; Metazoa; Chordata; Aves; Anseriformes; Anatidae. The record is from RNAcentral.